RNAcentral lists this unclassified non-coding RNA (332 nucleotides) under soil metagenome. Its description in RNAcentral is "partial contains 5.8S ribosomal RNA, internal transcribed spacer 2, and large subunit ribosomal RNA". The stretch from base 1 to 120 matches the Rfam family "5.8S ribosomal RNA", at positions 35 to 154 of the family's 154-position model. The record is from RNAcentral.
GAUGAAGAACGUAGCAAAAUACGAUAAGUAAUGUGAAUUGCAGAAUUCAGUGAAUCAUCGAAUCUUUGAACGCACAUUGCGCCCGCCAGUAUUCUGGCGGGCAUGCCUGUUCGAGCGUCAUUUCAACCCUCAAGCACAGCUUGGUGUUGGGACUCGCGUUAAUUCGCGUUCCUCAAAUUGAUUGGCGGUCACGUCGAGCUUCCAUAGCGUAGUAGUAAAACCCUCGUUACUGGUAAUCGUCGCGGCCACGCCGUUAAACCCCAACUUCUGAAUGUUGACCUCGGAUCAGGUAGGAAUACCCGCUGAACUUAAGCAUAUCAAUAAGCGGAGGA